Molecule: unclassified non-coding RNA, 244 nt
Filed under: uncultured fungus
Lineage: Eukaryota; Fungi
Description: partial contains 5.8S ribosomal RNA, internal transcribed spacer 2, and large subunit ribosomal RNA
Source: RNAcentral
AACGCACAUUGCGCCCCUUGGUAUUCCAUGGGGCAUGCCUGUUCGAGCGUCAUUUGUACUCUCAAGCUUUGCUUGGUGUUGGGUGUUUGUCUUUGCCUUGCCUAGACUUGCCCUAAAUACAUUGGCAGCCGAUAUUUUGGUUUGAAGCGCAGCACAAUUGCAAUUCAAGCUUACAAUAUGGGUACCCAUAAAGAAUUACAACACGUUUGACCUCGGAUCAGGUAGGGAUACCCGCUGAACUUAA